ACGAACGCUGGCGGCAGGCCUAACACAUGCAAGUCGAACGCUCGUAGCAAUACGAGAGUGGCAGACGGGUGAGUAACACGUGGGAACCUUCCCUAUGGUUCGGAAUAGCUCAGGGAAACUUGGGGUAAUACCGGAUAAGCCCUUCGGGGGAAAGAUUUAUCGCCAUUGGAUGGGCCCGCGUCGGAUUAGCUAGUUGGUGAGGUAACGGCUCACCAAGGCAACGAUCCGUAGCUGGUCUGAGAGGAUGAUCAGCCACACUGGGACUGAGACACGGCCCAGACUCCUACGGGAGGCAGCAGUGGGGAAUAUUGGACAAUGGGCGCAAGCCUGAUCCAGCCAUGCCGCGUGAGUGACGAAGGUCUUCGGAUUGUAAAACUCUUUUGGCGGGGACGAUAAUGACGGUACCCGCAGAAUAAGCCCCGGCUAACUUCGUGCCAGCAGCCGCGGUAAU
Molecule: ribosomal RNA, 451 nt
Filed under: uncultured bacterium
Lineage: Bacteria
Description: bacterial SSU rRNA
Rfam family: Bacterial small subunit ribosomal RNA
Source: RNAcentral